UUGAUCCUGGCUCAGAACGAACGCUUUGGCGGCGCGUUUUAAGCAUGCAAGUCGAACGGUAGAGAGAUGCUUGCAUCUCUUGAGAGUGGCGAACGGGUGAGUAACACGUAGGUGAUCUACCGCAGGGGUUGGGGAUAGCCCAUGGAAACAUGGGGUAAUACCGAAUACGUUGGGUCCGCUUUGGCGGACUCAAGAAAGGCGCUUCGGCGUCGCCCUGCGAUGAGCCUGCGCCCCAUUAGCUAGUUGGUAGGGUAAAGGCCUACCAAGGCGACGAUGGGUAGCCGGCCUGAGAGGGUGAUCGGCCACACUGGGACUGAGAUACGGCCCAGACUCCUACGGGAGGCAGCAGCUAAGAAUCUUCCGCAAUGGACGAAAGUCUGACGGAGCGACGCCGCGUGGGUGAAGAAGGCCGGAAGGUUGUAAAGCCCUUUUCUUGUUGAGGAAUAAGCACAGGAGGGAAUGCCUGUGCGAUGACGGUAGGCGAGGAAUAAGUCCCGGCCAAUUACGUGCCAGCAGCCGCGGUAACACGUAUGGGACGAGCGUUGUUCGGAAUCAUUGGGCGUAAAGGGCGCGUAGGCGGCGAGGUAAGCCUGGUGUGAAAGACCGCAGCUUAUCUGCGGGAAGCGCGCUGGUAACUGCUUUGCUUGAGUUCAGGAGGGGGAGCUGGAAUUCCAGGUGUAAGGGGUGAAAUCUGUAUAUAUCUGGAAGAACACCGGCGUCGAAUGCUAGCUCCUGGCCCAUGAACGGACGCUGAGGCGCGAAAACGUGGGGAGCGAACAGGAUUAGAAACCCCGGUAGUCCCCGCUGUAAACGAAGUGCACUAGGUGAUGGGCCACGAAGGUUCAGUGCCGGAGUUAAACGCGUUAAGUGCCACCGCCUGGGGAGUAUGCUCGCAAGGGGGAAACUCAAAAGGAACUGACGGGGGCCCGCACAAGCGGUGGAGCACGUGGUGUAAUUGGAUGAUACGCGAGGAACCUUACCAGGGUGUGACAUAUGCCGGAAUGUGCAGGAGACCGCGCAGCCCUUCGGGGCCGGUACACAGGUCCGGCAUGGCCGUCGUCAGCUCGCACCGUGAGCAGGUCGGCUACAUCCCGCCACGAGCGCAAUGGGUAACGUCGCAUCGAACCAGGUAAUACUGAUGAUUCCGGCGGAACUGCCGGUGCCUCAGCCGGAGGAAGGGCGACACGCGGACAAAGGGAUCACGGCACAAUUAACUCGUGGGGCUAUCUCCCGUGGCUACACACCGGGCGGCACAAAGCGAAUCAGAAACCACGAGGUGGACGCAAAUCGCAGAAAGCUGGUCUCAGUUCGGAUCGGAGUCUGAAACCCGACUCCGUGAAGGUGGAAUCGCUAGUAAUCACGCAUCAGCAUGGCGCGGUGAAUAC
RNAcentral lists this ribosomal RNA (1385 nucleotides) under uncultured spirochete. RNAcentral describes it as "partial 16S ribosomal RNA". It matches the Rfam family "Bacterial small subunit ribosomal RNA", at positions 13 to 1369 of the family's 1533-position model. The record is from RNAcentral. Lineage: Bacteria; Pseudomonadati; Spirochaetota; Spirochaetia; Spirochaetales.